GAUGAAGAACGUAGCAAAAUGCGAUACUUGGUGUGAAUUGCAGAAUCCCGUGAACCAUCGAGUUUUUGAACGCAAGUUGCGCCCGAAGCCUUUUGGCCGAGGGCACGUCUGCCUGGGCGUCACGCAUCGCGUCGCCCCCCACAAUUCUCCGUAAAGGGAACGUGUGUUUUGGGGGCGGAUAUUGGUCUCCCGUGCUCAUGGCGUGGUUGGCCGAAAUAGGAGUCCUUUCGAUGGACGCACGAGCUAGUGGUGGUCGUAAAAACCCUCGUCUUUUGUUUCGUGCUGUUGCUCGCAAGGUAAACUCUUUAAAAACCCCAAUGUGUCGUCUCUUGACGACGCUUCGACCGCGACCCCAGGUCAGGCGGGACUACCCGCUGAGUUUAAGCAUAUCAAUAAGCGGAGGA
Molecule: unclassified non-coding RNA, 404 nt
Filed under: soil metagenome
Description: partial contains 5.8S ribosomal RNA, internal transcribed spacer 2, and large subunit ribosomal RNA
Rfam family: 5.8S ribosomal RNA (bases 1-122)
Source: RNAcentral